AUAUCUGUAAAGCUCUUGGCAUAGUGUCUGAUACAAAAAGAGAGCUCAGUACAUUAAUUUUAGCUAUUAGAAAAUUAUCUCAGAAUACUUCACAGGCCUCAAAUCCAAAAAGUUGUUUCUUCUUCUUAUCCUAUCACCUAGAAAAUUCCUUCAGAUCACUUACUACAACUUUACAUAUAAAUGUAUUCCAAGGAGUUAGGUUGCCAGAAAAGGAAGAGGAAAAUUUUAUGUUUAUCUACCUCUCUCUCCUAUCACUUACCCUUUUCUCCUUUCCUUCUUUCUCUCCUUCUGUCCUGAAAAUCCGUGAAACAAACUUAGGUAGUCUGCUUUCAGAGCCCAAAUUCCAAACUGCUCUUCUGUGCUGACUCUUUCUAGUACCUUCCACAGUGCCUUGUACAUAGACAGUCUUUAAAUGUUGGAUAAUGCUAAAAUGCUGCUUUUGGCUUUUUUUCUUUUGCCUGGUUUUAAAAUUUUUUUGUAGGAUUCAAGAUUUGGAGGGUUUACAGAUGUGGACAGGAAGUAAAGCUUCAGGAUGUUUCCAGUUAUCCUUAUCAGCAUCAUAAGCACUUUUUGCCAUGUGUGCUUGCUAAUGUAGCAUUGCCUGAUGUCUUUCAACCAACUUGUUAUGUCUUUUGCUUACUGAGCGGAGUUAUGAUUGAACCCUCCCUCUUUGUUACCCCUAAAUCCCAUCAAUGACCAAAUCUUGCUUUUUUCCUCCCCAAUACCUCUCAGAUCUGUCAUAUUUCUCCAUGUUCAUGCCAGUACCCUAGUUAAAGCUGCCAGCAUCACAUUGUCAUACUACUACAGUAGCCUCCUAAUAGAUCUUCUCACAUCACUCUUGCUCAUCCCAAUACAAUCUGUUUUCCUCACAGCAGCUACAAUGAUCAGUUGAAAAAUGCAAGUGGAUUUUGGCUGUUCUGUCAUGAUUCAGGUAGGAAGCAGACUUCAGUUCAAAUGUAGACAUUGUAAUGAAAGACCCACUUUGUAGUAUGGUCACAGCUAAGGGGAUCAAUAAGGGAUACUGAGGUAUAUAAAGACAGACAAAAGUGAAAGUUGUUUACUGUUCCUCAGGUUGAAGGAGCAAGGGGAUGGAGUUGUAUUACUAGAGCUCACUGAGAGCUAGCCCAAGGAGGGGGGUCCACACUGCAAGGACUGUAAUUGUGAAGGGACAAGUCACCACCAGUGAUACUGUGUGAAACAGGGAGGAAGUACCGUGAUCUUCAUUUCUUCUCAGUCUCAGCUCUCCUAUCAGUGUCUCCUCUUGGCCAAAUCUAACUGGAAACUGGAAAGCAAAGAACCCGGGUAAUUUAGUCUGGAGGGGUCAGCCUGAGGAAGAGCAGAGUUCUGCAGAUAGUGUGAAGAAUAACCAGCGCACCGUAAGACCAAAUCCUUAAUCUGACCUGCAGGACCCUGCGAGAUCUGACACUUUCCUACUUCAUCAUGCUCAUCCUUGGCCUCUUUGCUCCUGAUUCACUGAGGUUCAGCCAUAUUUGGGUCUUUCAUUUUCUUGAAUAUGCUGUGCUUGUUCCCACCUGAGUGCCUUUAUACAUGCUGUUCCCUGUGUCUGACGAGUUCUUGCCCAACUUUUCACCUCAUUAAAUCUUAACCAUCUUUCAGAGCUCAGCUCAAAGGACACUUCCUCAGGGAAGUCUCACCUGACUCUCUAGACUCUCCAGGUUAGAUCCUGGUGAAAUAUGUCUAACUGCAUCCUGCUCUUCUCCUUUGUAGCACCUAUCACUGUAACUAGAUAUCUACUUGUUUACUAAUUAAGAGAAUGUUUGUGUUACUGGGUAUAAAUAAAGAGAUUUUAUCUAUCUUGUUUGCCACUGAUUUCCCGGUGCCUUGCUCAGUGUUUUGCAUAUAGUAGGCACUUAAUAAACAUUGAUUGAUUGAAUGAAUGGACAAAUGAAUGAAUAUAUAUUUUUCAUGGUUUGUCCAAAAAUGCGAAAAUUUCAUGUAUGCCCCUUUAAGUUAACAUCAAAACCACAUAUGAAAUAGCAUGAGAAAGAGUAAUCUUGAACUGGUUUUCUUCUAUUGUAUCUAUUAUGUAGUGUUCUAUUUAUGUAGGAGACUGAAAAAAAUAAGAGUUGACUUGUAUUUAACAUCUUAUUUCUUUCCUGCCUGUUAAGAUAGACUGAAUGAUUACUUUUUGUAAAGCCAAAGUGUAGCAGAGUGCUUAGGAGGUUAGUAUUUAUAAGGGCAGUAUUGGGACAGAAGGUACUCUGGACGUCCUUACUGUAUCUUUCCCAGUUGCUCAUUGUUAUGUUAUGUGCAUCCCUUUCUUAGUAUGUGGCAGAGGAUCUUUAGGGGGCAAAAGCCAUUCUGAUUUAUCCCUUACCUCCAAAUAUCCCUGCCCUUCACCUGCCCCAGAAGAUUAUUUGUACUUACAAAUUAGAUGAAGAAAGGGAGGACAUCAUGGGGUAGAGGUACACCGAAAACAUGUUGUUUUUCAACACAGUGUAUCAUGCAAAAAUUUAAUAUCUUAUGUGGUAUGCAAAACAUUAAACAUGGCUAUUGUUGAUUCUCCUGCUAAAUCUAUUGUAGAUAAUAAUUUUCUUUAUUUGAUAGCCAAUUAAAGUACAGUAGUGAAAUAAUUCUCUCAACAUCACCAUGAAGUGAAUGCAUUAAUGUCCCUACAUUGCACACAAAAUAGCCAAAGGAUGAAGUGGAUAUCUAUCAUAUCCCUUGAGUAUUGGAGCUCCUCAGACUUCUUUUUUUGGACCUUUUCUAUUCUUGUUUGAUAUAGUUACUGGGGCUAGCUUCAUCUACUCCUCCUAAGGUAUAUAUAUGUAUACUUAUGUGUAUGUAUGUAUGUAUAUAUAUAUACAUGCCACUGACUUCUAAGUCUUUAUCCCAGCCUCAAGUCUUUGGCUCCAUAUCCACUGUACCUGUUAAACAUCUUGUAUAGUCAGUAUCAGUUAGUGGAGCACCACCUAUAUAGUUUCCCAAAUUUUGUUUCUUGGACUUGUCCUUGAAUUCUAUCUCUCAAUAUCUAACUAGCCACCAAGGCUUUUCAAUUCUAACUCUAAUAUAUUCCAUUAAAUUAACUUUAACACUUUCACCCCAGUGCUAUUUCAGUGGGUGAGUUUGAAUUAAUAAAAUAAUUUUCUGUGGUCUUCUUGUCUCUUUUUUCUCUUCAUCAUGGUCUGUCUUCUGAGUGGAGAUAGCCAUCUAUGAAAACAAAAUUUACAUCACUUUAUGGCUCAAAAAAUAUUUAUUGCACCUUAAGCUUCUCUUUGCUUACUCCUUAGCUUGACAUAAAAAGUUUUGCGAAGUUAGAACCACGUGAAUCCUCUCUACCAUUCUAUUUAUCCUAACUUAUUGCCUGCCAUCUCCUAUCUCAGGUUUCUAUAUCAGUAUCUUGGUGACAUUAGUUACCACGUGCUUUCUGUGACCUUGUUUAGUGAUGGAAGAGUUAAGAAGGCCUUUGAAAACUUUCUUUCUGUGCUUAUCUGCAAGGCAACUUAAUGGCUAAUUCUUGGCAUAUUCCAGACCCCAUCUUAUCCCCAUCCACCAUUUGGUUUUUCAAGAAAUAGUGUUAAUGAAAAUUAUGCUGAAAAUACUCAUAUUCUGGUCUCCUUCACUUUAAGGCAAUUUGCUUAAUCAUUUAUUCAAUUUUCCAGUAAACCUUUAUUGAGUACAUACUAUGUGCCAGACACUGAAUAUAGAGAUAAAGGGCUGUCUACCAAGGAACAUAAUCUAGUAGAAGAGAUGAAUAUGUAAAUAACUGUAUGGGUUGAUGGUACACUACCUCGAGUCUAAGAUAUAAUUAUGUUUGUAAAUGUUUGGCAAAUGAGGAGGGCCAGCUUCUCAUAAGGAAAACAAUUAUGUAAAUUGCUGCUAAUGUUUUAGCCUUUUAAAAAUCAUGAUUUGAAGGAAAGAUUAUUUCAAGACUUUCUUCUUCAGUCCCAGCCCUUAUGUUUUCAAAAUACUUCUUUUAAAUUUCAAAUGUUCUGUGCAUAAAUAGUCCCAGAAGUUUUCAAAACAAUUCAGAAAUCACAAGUGAGAUGUAGUGAAUGUGAGUUUUACAGCUUUUAUUUUUCUCCUGAGUGUUCCCUGGCAUACAUGCCACUGAACAAUUAAAAUACUGACUGAAACAAAGGGAUAAGAAGUAAUAAAUUCCUUCACUGAGCCACAAAUGGAAGACUCUGUCCUUUAGUACUAAGAGAGACUUAUAAAUAGUGUAAUGUAAUUAAUUACCUUGCAUAUUCAAGUGUUUAUGUACAAGAUGUCCUAGCAUUUAUAGAAAUAACAAAUUGAGUUAUCUUAUUUAAGAACUUAAUUAUUUCUCUUGGAGAUUGUGGCUAAAAAUACUGACAAAUUCUGUCUACAAUCAUUUGCUUUUCACACCACAAACUAAUGUUUACACUAUGAUUACAACUUAGACAGGCAGCUUGGGGCUAAAUGUGCCCUUAUAUAUUCUUUUCUACUAAUCUUUUUACAAAUGAUUUUUUUUAGAUACUUCCAUUAACCAGAGCCAUGAUUUCAAUAAAGCCCAAUAAAAAUCUAAAUGUGCUGUCCAGUUUCAAAGUUGCAAUAAUUUUUUCAUGUUUAGUGUGUGGUUUCAAAUUUACUCUCCAAGGAUAAGUUAUAAAUCAGAGAGCUGAAAGGGACUUUAUGGGGUUAUUUGGUUCCAGUAUUGCCUUAGAAAUGCACAAGCCAAACUUAUCUAAAUUGACACUCUCAUUUGAAUCUCCUCUGAGGACAGAGGGGCCACAGCCUUGCCGGGGUGAAGUACUUAGUCACCCUUAGAGUAGAUAUGACUUUUCUCAAGAGUGUGAGCACUACUUGGCUCCUUUGUUGGAGAGUAAGCCUGAUUCUUUUUCAGUUUAUGGCAGGUACUUACUGGGCACUAUCCUUCAUCAACUUGAAAGCAUUUAUAUAACCCUUUGGUCUUCUCUUUGUAAGAUUUUAAAAGAAGGAAAAACACAAAACCAAACACUUCUUUACACUUUUCUUAAAGAACCUGUUUUCCCAUUUCUUUUCUUGGGUCUCUUUUAGUUUCUUCAUAAUUUAAAUGCCAAAAGAAAACAUGAAGAUGUUUCUCUUAAACAAAGUCAAGAAGAGCAGGCUUCUUCCUCCAAGUUCAUUUGGCAAAAAUCGAUUGAGGAUACAUUUCAUUCCGAACCAGUAUUGUGAAUGUUAAAAGGGCAAUGCUGAACAAGAGAGAGGCUGUUAGGGUGGCAGAGGAGGAAGCAGGCAAUACAGAGGGUCAGGAAUGCUAAGUUGGUUAGUGGGAGCAUGCAGAAAGGGGUAGCCAAUGAUGGCCUUAGGCUACUAAAGCAGUGAAACACCUAUGGUGUCUUGAUGCCAUAUUUAACAUUUUGGGGGCCGGCCUGGUGGCACAGUGGUUAAGUGUGCAUGUUCUGCUUCUUGGGGGUCCAGGGUUCGCCAGUUCGGAUCCCGGGUGCGAACAUGGCACUGCUUGGUGAAAGCCAUGCUGUGGUAGGGAUCCCACGUAUAAAAUAUAGGAAGAUGGGCAUGGAUGUUAGCUCAGGGCCAGUCUUCCUCAGCAGAAAGAGGAAGAUUGGCAGUAUUUAGCUCAGGGCUAAUCUUCCUCAAAAAAAAAUUUGUACAUUCUUCAUGUAGUAUAGAAAUGGCUCAAAACAGGUGAAAACUGCAACUUUAGUUCUAUGUAUACUUAAAACAACAAACAAGUGAAACCUUGAUCUGUCCUGUGGCAUUCUCCAUGAACAGCAUUUUGAUCUAGAGAAAUAUUUUUCAGUUUUCUGAGUCCUUGCCCAACCUCUCAUAAACCUUUGGGAGCCAAGAAAAAUACAUCAAGUCUUAUUUUAAUACAAAUGCAAAUAUAAUCCCUAAAACAAAUUUUUUAAAGAAGGAAAGUAUAAUUAUAGAUUUCAAAACACGUUUUCCCAAUAUUUACUGUUGACAAAAGAAGAUGAAUGUGGAGUGAUGUCAACAUGAUGGCAGAGCGAACUUGCCCAGGACUCUCUCCCCUCCAACAUACAACAAAAAGGGGCAUCCAUACUCCAACAGAGGACAUCCUAACAACACAAAAACAUCGGAGAGACACGCAGCCACGUGAAGGAGGGCGGAGAGGCUGGAGUCCCGUUUGGAGGAGCUGGAACAGGGUAAGAGAGAACUUCACUCCCUCCCCUAAAGACUGUAAUUGCAACAGUGGGAAGUUCCAUGAGGGAAGGAACAGGGGAGGAGUCAUUCAUUCACGGGAUCCCCAAGGACUCCCUAGGGCCCUUGCAGCCUAGAGGUAAGCCCCCUAAUGGGGAGAAAGCUUUCCUGGGGGGGUGACCUUAUCAAGCAAACACCCCAGGAGACCAGAGAGUGGAGAGCUGAUCAGGAAAGCCUGGAGUGCAUGCGGGAGAAAGCUCCCCUUCCCCCAGCCAUGCCUGCUCUGCUUCCUGGGAUAUUGGCUGAAGGUGGAGGACUCAGAGUACGUGGCUAUCGACACCCACCCAGUGGCACUAGGCACUAACUGCAACCGAAUAGUAUCAGAAUGUGUAAGACCUGACCUACUUCUAGCAACAUCAGACACAACAUCAAAUCUCCAAACCAAAGAGAAAAUGACAAGCACCCAGAAUUCAGUCCUGAGGACACAGAAAUAUAUAAACAAAAUCAGAAAUGAAAGAGGAGAAAUAACAACAGACUACGCAGAAAUACAACAGAUUAUAAGAGAAUAGUAUGAGAAACUGUAUGCCAACAAAACGGAUAAUCUAGAGGAAAUGGAUAAAUUCUUAGACUCGUAUAACCUCCCAAAGCUGAAUCAAGAAGAAACAAUCUGAAUAGACCAAUCACAAGGAAAGAGAUUGAAACAGUAAUCAAAAAUAUCCCAAAGAAUAAAACCCCAGGACCAGAUGGCUUCCCUGGGGAAUUCUACCAAACUUUCAGAGAGGAUUUAAUACCUAUCCAUCUCAAGGUAUUCCAAAAAUUUAGGGAAGAUGGAACACUUCCUAACACAUUCUACGAGGCCAAGAAGAUGAAUGCAUUUGGUUUUCUUUUUUCCCCAUGACUCCUUUACCUGUAGAUGAUUCUAUAUGUACAUACAUACAUGUCUAUUUUGUUGCUGGUGUUGACAGUUGACUGCCAAAUAGUUAUUGUAUAUUCAGCUUUCCACUUUGUGAAUACAAUUCUUAAAUUUAUCCUAUUCUAUUCUUUUACUGGACAUAAAACCAAACUUUUAACCCUUGCUUAAGUGAUACAUAGUUAUUAUGGCACUAUAUACCCUUUAGGUAUAUAUAAAUGUGACUGUAUGUCCUAAUUUUCCCAGGAUAGAUCUAAUUUUCACUUGUGGUUCUAGUAUAAUUGUUAAUAGCUAACUUUUUCAUGCUCAGAAGUAUCCUAGAUUGAAUGAUAGAUUACAUGGUUGCCCUACAUAUAAUGAACUUUAGUCCAACUGCACUAAUGAGAGGAUAAGGGAGUAGUUAGCAUGAAGGAAUAAUAUGAAAGCAUUUAAAGCUACCUUUUGAAAUUAGUAAAAAUCACACAUCUAUUCCUUUUUCCUGAGUAGGUCUGAUUUUUUUCUUGGUUUGGG
This 7507-nucleotide long non-coding RNA is filed under the name Equus caballus (horse). Its description in RNAcentral is "lncRNA (ENSECAG00000044928.1)". Lineage: Eukaryota; Metazoa; Chordata; Mammalia; Perissodactyla; Equidae. The record is from RNAcentral.